Long non-coding RNA from Apis cerana (Asiatic honeybee), 915 nucleotides. RefSeq lists it as uncharacterized. NCBI's taxonomy places the organism in Eukaryota, Metazoa, Arthropoda, Insecta, Hymenoptera, Apidae. The record is from RefSeq and is a predicted model, not a curated record.
GUUCGAUGAAUUCAUUUUAUAGGUUAAGUAAAAAUAAAAAAAGAUUGAAAAUUUUUCAUGAAUUUAUUUAGCUUAUAAGCUUUUUUUUUUAUUUAACUAUACUAUUUAGCUUACUAUUCUCGUAUUUUGCUUUGUGUUAAAAAUUUUAAAUGCAGAUAUAACAACUAAUAAAAGGAAAAUGUUAUGAAGUACAUUAAAGUAGUUAUGAAAACAUUAAAGUAUAUGCGAUAAUCAAUCCGGAAAUGAUAAUAAUUUUUCAGAUAUAUGAUAUCGACCGAUUGCAAAAUUGCAUCAAUGAUAUGACUUAAAACCUCUUGUGAUGUUAGAUGCGUUGCUUUGUUCUUUUAUUAUCAAAUCUAUUAUCGCAUUAACAACAAUAACAAGCUAAUAUACCGAUAUACUACUAUAAUAAAUCGACCUACAUAUAUAUAUUGAAAAUAACGUUCACGUUGAAUGGGUGUUGUCGGCGAAACGGUGCUGUUAUAUGUCUUACUGUAAGAAUGCUUUUUUUUGCCUAUAUAAUCGUUGGCUGCCUGACACGAGAGUUAUCACAACGGCCUACCGGUGAUCCGGAGCGGCGUCGUCGUCGUCAACUCACGGAAAUGUGGCGCCAAGAUAUUCGUUACAAAUACACUGUCAUUUAAAAAAUUUGAAUCAUUAACAUUUUUCAAGAAUUCGUAAUCAAAAAUUAGGUUAGAAUUAAAAAAUAUUAUGAAAGUGAAAAAGAAAAUAGAAAUUAGAUUAAGUUAGGUUAGGUUAUAAUCUCGAAAAAUUUCAGAAUUUAUUUGAAACUUUUUAUGAACAAUAUUUAAAAAAGUAUUUAUAUAUUCCAAAUAAAAAUCUUAUUAUUAAAAUACGAUUUCAAUAAUGAUAUUCGUAAUAUCAUUAUGUUUGUAUUAAAUUAUAACUUCAAUA